AACGAACGCUGGCGGCAUGCCUAACACAUGCAAGUCGAACGAUUGCCUUCGGGUGAUAGUGGCGCACGGGUGCGUAACGCGGGGGAAUCUGCCCUUAGGUUCGGAAUAACAGCUGGAAACGGCUGCUAAUACCGGAGGAUAUCGUGAGAGCAAAGAUUUAUCGCCUGAGGAUGAGCCCGCGUUGGAUUAGGUAGUUGGUAGGGUAAAGGCCUACCAAGCCGACGAUCCAUAGCUGGUCUGAGAGGAUGAUCAGACACACUGGGACUGAGACACGGCCCAGACUCCUACGGGAGGCAGCAGUGGGGAAUAUUGGACCAUGGGCGCAAGCCUGAUCCAGCAAUGCCGCGUGAGUGAUGAAGGCCCUAGGGUUGUAAAGCUCUUUUACCCGGGAAGAUAAUGACUGUACCGGGAGAAUAAGCCCCGGCUAACUCCGUG
RNAcentral lists this ribosomal RNA (435 nucleotides) under uncultured bacterium. RNAcentral's name for it is "partial 16S ribosomal RNA". It matches the Rfam family "Bacterial small subunit ribosomal RNA", at positions 29 to 507 of the family's 1533-position model. The record is from RNAcentral.